This 170-nucleotide unclassified non-coding RNA is filed under the name uncultured Dermateaceae. Its description in RNAcentral is "sequence contains ITS1". The record is from RNAcentral. Lineage: Eukaryota; Fungi; Ascomycota; Leotiomycetes; Helotiales; Dermateaceae.
CAGAGUUCGUGCCCUCACGGGUAGAUCUCCCACCCUGUGUUAUUAUACCUUUGUUGCUUUGGCGGGCCGCCCUCGGCUACCGGCCCCGGCUGGUACGCGCCCGCCGGGGGACCCAAACUCUUGUAUUUCUUACUUUGCAUGUCUGAGUGGAAUCAUAAACAAAUGAAUCA